Molecule: ribosomal RNA, 497 nt
Filed under: uncultured bacterium
Lineage: Bacteria
Description: partial 16S ribosomal RNA
Rfam family: Bacterial small subunit ribosomal RNA
Source: RNAcentral
GAUGAACGCUGGCGGCGUGCCUAAUACGUGCAAGUCGAGCGAACAGACGAGGAGCUUGCUCCUCUGACGUUAGCGGCGGACGGGUGAGUAACACGUGGAUAACCUACCUAUAAGACUGGGAUAACUUCGGGAAACCGGAGCUAAUACCGGAUAAUAUAUUGAACCGCAUGGUUCAAUAGUGAAAGACGGUUUUGCUGUCACUUAUAGAUGGAUCCGCGCCGCAUUAGCUAGUUGGUAAGGUAACGGCUUACCAAGGCGACGAUGCGUAGCCGACCUGAGAGGGUGAUCGGCCACACUGGAACUGAGACACGGUCCAGACUCCUACGGGAGGCGGCAGUAGGGAAUCUUCCGCAAUGGGCGAAAGCCUGACGGAGCAACGCCGCGUGAGUGAUGAAGGUCUUCGGAUCGUAAAACUCUGUUAUUAGGGAAGAACAAAUGUGUAAGUAACUAUGCACGUCUUGACGGUACCUAAUCAGAAAGCCACGGCUAACUACGUG